UUUCACUAGCCACCAUUUCUCAAAAAGGAGAAGAUCUUGCAAUUAUCAAAGGGAAGCAAAGAGGUUUCAAGAAUAAUUAAAGCCAGUCAAACUUUGACUGUUGAUUUUUGUGUAAUCAAGAGUUUAGAGAAGAAGUUGCAGGUACAAGUUCUUGAUGUGCAUGGAAAUCAUAAGCAUCCGGAUGGGAGUUUUAGUACACGAGUACUUUCUUAUUUAAGUUAUCUUGAAUUUUAUAUUUGACUUUACUUGACCAAUGGGGUCAAGGUUUGACUUUUGAAGAUGGGACUAGUAUGGGAUAGUCUCGGAGUUUGUAAUUCAUUUACAUACUUUCUUAUUUCGUUGUAUUAAAGUAUUUUCAGUUUAUUUUAAAAGACUUCCGCUGUAUUAUCUGAUUAGCCUUACGUAUUAUCAUGCGUGGCAUAACAACUCCCGCAAUUUCUCCUAGUUUAUAAAAGGAGGAGUCGUGGGGGUGUUACAAAGUGGUUACCAGAGCUCCAAGGUUUAUAUUACCUUAUUUUACAAAAGUUUUCGAACUUAAAAGUAUUUCAAAGUCGAAUUGCAAAAAGGGAAGGGAAUUGCAUAUGCAUAUGUACAUUGCGUCGCAUUAGCCACUAAGU
Molecule: long non-coding RNA, 617 nt
Organism: Beta vulgaris subsp. vulgaris (sugar beet)
Lineage: Eukaryota; Viridiplantae; Streptophyta; Magnoliopsida; Caryophyllales; Amaranthaceae
Exons: 4
Source: RefSeq, a predicted model, not a curated record